CCCCCCCCCCCCCGAAAUCCAGGGAUUUAGGGAUUUUUCUGGCAGAGAAGGGCCAGCUUUAAGAAAUUAUGAGUUGGGGCUGGAGCUUGGUAGCAUUGACAGUUUGGUAUAAAAAGCUCUGUGUUGCAGGCUGCGAUGACAGGCAAUGAUAAAUCACUCUUGGCUGGUGCUACAGGUUCCAAUAAUGGUGUUUUAAAAAGAUUACAUGGGUUUUAAUGCAAACUUUUUGCGUCUUUGUACUGUCCUUUAUGGGCUCCCUUUCUAAAGAGCGGAGCCUGUUUUGAUUCAGCAUUCUUGGAAUCUAAAGAUGGAGCCAGGGUUUUACUGGGCUGAAACACUGUUUUUUGCUUUUCCUACAAACACGAGGAUCUUGUUGGAGUGUCUUUUUAGCCAGCUGGCUACCAGGAGCCGUUUCACAAAGGUGCCUGUUUUUGUUUUGAAGGUAACUUUGCCUCAUGGAGGAUGAAAGAGCAAGAGGCUUUGCCCAGCUCCAGUGGGUGCUGUUAUAAAGAAGUUUCCCCGUGACAGGGAGAGGCUUUGCGUGAUAGCAGUGAGGGGGGAAAAACAACCUCGUGCACAUACCCUUCGUUUCCUUGGCCUGUUCCCAUGGGAGGACUGGGCAUUUGUAUGAUCAAAGGAACCAUAACAAUCAAAGGCCUGGUGGAAAAUAAUGUACCCUUGCCAGGUACCUUGUGGGUACCUGGGGCUGGGCAGGGUUUGCCUUUGCUCCAAGAUGUGUGGGGUGGCUGUUUUGUUGUUUGUUUUUUUUUUAAUUAUUAUUAUUCCCACUGAGGAUUGCAGGAGGAAAAUGGACCAUUUCUGGGGCCUGCCCUUCAUUGUGGCAUGGGAACAGCAGCAUCUGUCUGUGGGAUGCUGAUGAUCAGGGGGUGCUGGGGUGGCCCAGCUGUGCCAGGGCGAAGGCAGGCUCUUGCAGUGUGGUGACAGCUGUGCAGUGAUGCUGGGGUAGGAGCAGCUUUAAUUCCCUGGCAGCCCGCUGCAGCAAGGGACAGCCAGCGGCUUGCCCACCCGCCUGGCUGCGGGUUUCUGAGGGCGGCAGGUCUGGGGAGAGGACAAGGUGCCUUUGUCCGUGGUGGCGAUGGUCUCCCGUCAGGGCACAAACCCUGCGCGUAGAUAAGGGGUGGGAGCAGUGCCACCGGUUUUGUUUGGGUUGAAGGAAAACAAGCUGAUUUUUGGCUCCGUUCAGACGUGGAGCUGCGAGUGCCAUAGGACCAUAUGUUUUUCUCCUUGGCGGGGGGGAAAAAAUGGCUUUGAUAGUGUCUGCUAAUGAUUCAGCGCUGUUUACAUAAUAAUUGUGGUUGGCUUUCAUUAGCUCUCGUAAGGAGAUAGCUUUCCUUUAGCGCGGUUGCUUCUCUGUUUUGGUUUCACGCCGUUGUGGCAGCGGGGCGGUGAGGCUGGACUGCGGCCCCUCUGCAGGCACAGCGAUGGGCUCCCUGCUCCUUGCUGCAGAGGAGAGGGGACACGCGCUGCCUGGGCAGCCCCUGGAAGACAGAGGUAAUGGUGCAGAGCAUCAUAGCAUCUCCACAGAGUGGAGUUUACAUCCAGUUUGGGUGAUUUCUCAGUGCAGUGCUUAAUGUUUGCACUAAGAACUCUUGGCGUUACAUAGUGGCAAGGAAGGAAAUCCACUGACCUGCUUCCACCAGGAGGAAAAAGCUGGGACCUUUCACCUAUCGGAAGAACUGAUCUGUACAGCGCGGAUAUUGGUUGUGUGUGUGACGCUCCUGGAUUAGAUGCUGCAGCCUCACCUUGGCUCCUUUAUAACGUUCUCUCCGAACACCCGCCAGAACAGCCGGCCUUUUCAGCAGCCUGAAACCUCCCUUGCCGGGAAGGCUCCCGAGCGGGAGCAGCCCUGCUGGCACGGCGCUGCUCCAGACCGUCGCUGACGCUGCUUGGAAAACCCAGCCUGCGUGCGGGCGAGGAUGCCAGGCACGGCUGGCGCUCCAUGGACAGUGUUUUCCAGGGUUUCCAAAGCCAGAGAUGGGCCUGCUCGCCAGGCAGCGAGCUCAACAGGCAACUGAGAAAUAGCUGUGGCGUGUAAGGGUUAAUUUCUAGGUAUUAAAAUAUGCACAAAAGGUGAAAUGAGACUUCCUCCGUGUCAAUGAAUUACGGCUUUAAAAUAUUUGCAUUCUUUCCUGAAAGAUUUAGGAAUAAUUAUAUAGCACUCAGGGGCAAGGCAUUGCCAGAUAAACUUAACAACUCUAUAAUUUGUACUCGAGGCAGGGUUUCCUGUAAAUGAUAGCUUUGUUUAAUUUUACAAUACUGCUUCCAAAUGUUUGCUGGUUAUGAAUUGCCAACCAAAAUGGACUUGUGAAUCUGGAAGAGUCUUUGUUUGUUUGUUAUUGGAGACAAUAAAAGCUGCUGAAUUAGGCUAAAA
Long non-coding RNA from Cygnus olor (mute swan), 2392 nucleotides. RefSeq lists it as uncharacterized. The transcript is spliced from 2 exons. The record is from RefSeq and is a predicted model, not a curated record. NCBI's taxonomy places the organism in Eukaryota, Metazoa, Chordata, Aves, Anseriformes, Anatidae.